CACGGAAUUAGCCGGUGCUUAUUCGUAUAGUACCUUCAGCCAGAUACACGUAUCUGGGUUUAUCCCUAUACAAAAGAAGUUUACAACCCAUAGGGCAGUCGUCCUUCACGCGGGAUGGCUGGAUCAGGCUCUCACCCAUUGUCCAAUAUUCCUCACUGCUGCCUCCCGUAGGAGUCUGGUCCGUGUCUCAGUACCAGUGUGGGGGAUCACCCUCUCAGGCCCCCUAAAGAUCAUUGACUUGGUGAGCCGUUACCUCACCAACUAUCUAAUCUUGCGCGUGCCCAUCUCUAUCCACCGGAGUUUUCAAUAUCAAAUGAUGCCAUCUGAUAUAUUAUGGGGUAUUAAUCUUCCUUUCGAAAGGCUAUCCCCCUGAUAAAGGUAGGUUGCACACGUGUUCCGCACCCGUGCGCCGCUCUCAAAGAUCCGAAGAUCUUCUACCGCUCGGCUUGCAUGUGUUAGGCCUCCCGCUAGCGUUCAUCCUGAGCCAGGAUA
Molecule: ribosomal RNA, 492 nt
Filed under: uncultured Chryseobacterium sp.
Lineage: Bacteria; Pseudomonadati; Bacteroidota; Flavobacteriia; Flavobacteriales; Weeksellaceae
Description: partial 16S ribosomal RNA
Source: RNAcentral